RNAcentral lists this long non-coding RNA (409 nucleotides) under Equus caballus (horse). Its description in RNAcentral is "lncRNA (ENSECAG00000047238.1)". Lineage: Eukaryota; Metazoa; Chordata; Mammalia; Perissodactyla; Equidae. The record is from RNAcentral.
AUUGAAGUCAUGUAUCUACAAGUCAAGGAAUGCCAAGGAUUGCUGGAAACCACCAGAAGCAGCAGCAGAAGCAGCAUCCUGCAGGGCUCUGUGAGGUUUCCCCUGCCAGGAAGCGAAGCGCCCACACAAACUUUGGUUUGUUUCUAGGACAAGGCACAGUAAGUAGGUCAAUAAUGAUGAACAAUUCACUGUAUACUCUAAUUCUCAAAAAAGAAGAAGGAAAAGAAGAGGAAGAGGAAGAAUCAGUUUGUCAUGUCUCCCUCCUUGCUUCCAUACAAUAAACAGUCCUUAUCUGCCAUUUGAGCCAUCCCUAUUGUACAUUUAGGUCUCUUGGGACAUCCGUAUGUAAAGCUGAGAUAUAGGCGAUGCCCACCAUCUGGUUUGUUACUCCAGAACACUGGUGAGGGAA